This 2474-nucleotide long non-coding RNA is filed under the name Homo sapiens (human). RNAcentral's name for it is "non-protein coding lnc-CNTN2-2:1". Lineage: Eukaryota; Metazoa; Chordata; Mammalia; Primates; Hominidae. The record is from RNAcentral.
CGCUUAAGCCACUGAUGGCUGCGAGCUUGAAGAGAGGGAUUCUGAGGGAGAGCUUGGUCCAUCUGGUCACCAAGGCUGGGCGGGACAGAGCAGUCAAGAACCACGGUGUGGCUUGAGAAACAGUCCUGCUUCCUGAGCCUCUUUGCUCUGCCUCUUGGGGCAAGCUCCUUAACCUGUCUGUAUUUUUAUGCCUCUGUCUCCCAUUCAGUUCCUCCUUGAAUACCUCUUUCUACAGAGAGGCACGGGCUCCCCUGAAGGAUUGUCGAGGCCAGGGUUCGGGAAGUACACUGCCAUCGGUCAGGGGACAGCUGCCUCCCACCUUGCCUGGGUGAUGGUGAAUGGGACUCAUCUUUUCCUGCCUUGCUUUUGAGGAGAUGGUUGAAUUUAAGCUAACAGGAAAGCCAAACCAGCACCCUCCUUUGUGCUCUGAGAGGUUGGAGACAUCUGGUCCACCCCAUUGCCCCUGCCCCUGGCAAGCCCUGAAGUCGGGAGAGGUGACCACAGGUCUGAAAAUCAGCCAGUGCCAACAUUGCUUGCCCUGCAAGGUGCAACUGAGCCCACAUAGCGCAUUCAUAGUUUCCCUGACCACAGCCUUGGGAAGACGGUGGAAACCCGAGGAUGUGUGGGUUUCCCAGCUAACGGACAAGCUCCCCUGCCACACCCAGUGCCCACGCAUGCUCACAUACAUACAGCAGACCACAACCCUGUUGCCAAGCAGUGCUUCCAAGGGAUAGCGAUCCAGAUUCCAACAUUGUCUUGGAGAGGGUUAGUCCACAUCCAAGUUGCGUGAGAUAAGAUGCAAAGGGCUCUGUGUGGAUGAGGAACGCACCUUAGAGGAGUGGGAAAGGCCACCAGGGUUGGGCCCUGUUUAGGUAAUUCCUGUUGGCAGCACCUAGAGAGAGCAUCUGAGCUGAAGGAGUGGGAAACUUUGCCCAAGCAAUGGCACGGGCAGCGGGCUCUUUCUGGCGCCCUGUGCUGGAGCAGGGCCAAGUCUUAGGGCAUCACAAACAGCCCAUUUGAUGGAGGGAGCAGGGACAUAGCACAUUUUUGUCUGUCUUUGUGAGGCUGCUUUGCUAACUCUCUGAGGAGAGGAAGCCUCUCGGGCUUUCCGUCGGCUGGGGCUAGUGCCAGAGAAUCCCUUCUCAGUGGCCAGCAGGUUCCUGGGAGGCCGGCACAAGGCACCGCUCCCCACUCAUGACACCUUGGUGCAGAGUGACCUCCUGCCCAGUCACCACUCCGGCCAGCCCCAGCCAAACACACAAAAGCCCAUGGUUGCGGUUGCAUCUACACCGUUAGUUGGCAAAGGAUCCUGCUUGAGCUCUGCGUGGUGGCCAAGGAGUAGCAUGGAGGAGGGCCCUGAUUUUAAAAAGGAAAAAUAGAGAGGCCUCAAAACAAUGAAACAAAGAGCUUGAUAUGUCAAGAGGAGACCAAGGCCCUGGGAGGCAUAGGCAAGCCGGGCAGAGUCAGACCAGUGCCCUCCCUUGACCAUCUCCUAGCAUUCCUUAACCUAGACAGGGGCUACCCCAUGUGAGUCCAAGCCAGACUUUGUGGCUGUCCCCAGCCUGCACAGCCCAAGCCCAGGGAAGUGUCCUUUCUUUCCCUUCCUUACUAAUAAUGGGCCUUCCUGAGACACAUUCAGAGAAGGAUCAGAGAGAAAGGAGAACCAUCCAGGAGAGCCACAAGCGUCCACCAAACAGUGUCUCAGGCCUCACCUGAAGCUGCUGUUCCUCCUAUCAGCACACUAGUAUUAAAUGGGUGUUCCAUAAUGAGGAGAAUGGAAAUAGGUACAAGGCAUCUAGCUUAGGACAGAAUCGGAUUUCGGCAUGUGAAGGAAUCCCAGAGCUGAUCUCAUUGAAAUGAUCUAUCGUACAGACAAGGAUAUGCAAAUCCACAGAAGUGAAGGGAUUUUUGCUCAAGAUCACAUAGCUGGUAAACUAAGGUAAGGUUAGGGCUUGAACUUGGGCCUUCUGACUCCUUGUCCAGUCAGUGUUCUUUCAUCUCACCACAGCUGCCUCCUUUGAAACAGAGGUAUUAAGAUCUGUCCUUCUGGUUCACCCUCUCAUACCUCUUUACUGCGUCUCCCACAUCCCCCACAUGCCUCCCAAAAUGAAAGACAAACAGGAUUGUUUCUGAGACCAAGAUCAGUCUGUCUGUGAUCAGCCUGUGUGUGGUUCACCCAGUCAUGCAAUUAAGGGCAGAUCUGGGCCAGUGGAAUAGGAUAGCUGAUUGGUGUUUGUUACUGUGAACCCUAGACCGUACCCCGUAGAAUGGUGUCUCUUGCUUUGUAACACAUCGGGCCUUCAGUGUGCUGUAUUCCUCAGAAGUGAGGGCAUCUCGGUCCAUUCUGCCCAUGGCCACAGGGUGCAGAGAGGCAGCAGGGCCCAUGCAAGCUGCCACCCUGGGAUUUGCUGGGCUGGAGUUCAACAGAUGUAAAGACUUCAGUGAAGCAAUAAACACAAAACUCUGGGAGAAGA